AAAUCUAGAACGUUUCGAAUUUACCUACUUUAAUGCCGUGACAGCAAAAGCUUCCCAAGUAAUUGUUGUUCCGUAGAUCGCGGUUCGACACUAACUGAAAAAUUGUUGUUGUAUCAGAUGCGACAUCAAGUUAAUUAUUACAUUUAGCGUACUGCAAGUUAGACAUAAACAUGUUCAUGCGAUAUUAGUGCAGAAAACACUAUAUACUAGGGGUUAGGAUUUUCUCCGAACGUUUCGCGUCGGCUCUCCUCGACCUAAUGUCGAGUAAUGUACGUACGUCGUCUGACACAAGCGAAGCAAGUUGGAAGAUGUGUCUUCGUCGAAUUGAAGAGAGCCCAACCAAGCCUAGGACGCUUGUUUGAAUUUGGACAUCCGCGUAUUUCUUCAUAGUUUCGAAGCAGUCCAAUGUAACAAUCACGGUCAUUACGAGGAAUCCUCGUGCAGCUUUGCGAUGCCACCGUAAUAACGCCACUGUACCCCUUUAAUAUUGAUACGAUCACAUUCAUGGCCGAGUAAAAUGCCACAGCCAGGUAGGAGUACGCGGAGCAAACAUUCGGCAUCAGCAGCAGCAGCAGCAGAGAACUAGCGGGGUAAGAAUUGUUUCGAACAAUGCAAACCCCCGCAGAGAUCAACUAGCCCCUGCCGCAAGUAAAGGCAGAUGAAAUCGGCCCAGCGUUUAUGGGGUCGACCGUAUCUAUGAAACGUCUUCUCGACGUUGCUGUCUUUCCGUUAUCGCCACUGCUGCUUCCUUUUUGGCUACGGCCGUCGGCGCCGCAGCUUUCUAACCCUCAUCCUGUGGCACCGACGUAUCAAUUAAUCAUGUUCGCUCAAUAAUAAAUAGUCCAACAAGACGGCCAUCGCCGCCGGAUUAGACGUUUACGAUUUCAUCCUGUCACUUUGUCGUUCAUUCUCGUAGAAUGAACUCAUCCUGCGCAAGACAAGCAAGGGACAGAGAGCGCCUGUGCGGGUGUGGAAAAUAAUAAACGAGUGGGUUUGUGGUGACGCACAGGCAAAACGAAGGCCGUGUAGUAAGGUAACGGUAAUUACAGCGCGAACGUUAUGGCGCACCGACU
Molecule: long non-coding RNA, 1073 nt
Organism: Varroa destructor (honeybee mite)
Lineage: Eukaryota; Metazoa; Arthropoda; Arachnida; Mesostigmata; Varroidae
Source: RefSeq, a predicted model, not a curated record